AUGUCUCUUGAUUGGGAAGAUUUAUUUCCCCUCGCUUCGGUGAGUAAGCUGGUGAAAGAACUAUCGGACCACAAUCCCCUUUUAUUGGAUGGUGGGGUCGCCUCAUCUAGAGCACCAGGGAAUAGGUGCUUUAAGUUUGAUAAUGCCUGGCUUGGUAAUCCUGAAUUUCUCCCCUUGGUGGCUGAUAUUUGGUCAAGACCGGUAUAUUGUGUCGACCCCAUUGAUAUUCUUAAUAUCAAGUUGAAGAGGUGCAAGAAGUUUUUCAAAGGUUGGGGGUCCAAUGUGUUUGGGCAUAAUAAGAUUAGGAAAAAACUUAUCAAGCUGGAGUUGCAGGAGUUGGAAAAGAUUGAGGAGACCAUUGGUCUAUGCGGGGAUGCUUAUACUAGGAAGCUCGAGAUCCUAGUAGAGCUCAAUAACAUGUAUGCAGAAGAAGAGCUUCAUUGGCAUCAGUUUUCUAACAAAAGGUGGCUGCUGAAAGGAGAUAAUAACACCGAUUUCUUUCAUAAAGUUGCGAAUGGGCGUCGCAGGAAAAAUUCCAUGAAAUCCCUUGAAUACGGGUCUGUGGUUGUAGAAGGGACCAAAAACUUGCUCUCUCAUGCCACAGAGUAUUAUAGAACCCUUUUCGGGACGGCUCUAGGUAACCUCUGUCAUAUCGAUGUAGAAUUAUGGUCUCACGAGGAGAGAAUUACUCAUGCUGACAAUGAAGACUUAACUCGGCCUUUUUCUCUUGAGGAGAUAAAAAAUGCUCUUUUUGAGAUGAAAUCCAACCGUGCUCCUGGGCCGGAUGACAUCCCUGUUGAGUUUUAUCAACAUUGCUGG
RNAcentral lists this ribosomal RNA (819 nucleotides) under Triticum aestivum (bread wheat). RNAcentral describes it as "partial small subunit ribosomal RNA". The record is from RNAcentral. Lineage: Eukaryota; Viridiplantae; Streptophyta; Magnoliopsida; Poales; Poaceae.